RNAcentral lists this ribosomal RNA (558 nucleotides) under uncultured Trichococcus sp. Its description in RNAcentral is "bacterial SSU rRNA". It matches the Rfam family "Bacterial small subunit ribosomal RNA", at positions 90 to 632 of the family's 1533-position model. Lineage: Bacteria; Bacillati; Bacillota; Bacilli; Lactobacillales; Carnobacteriaceae. The record is from RNAcentral.
AGAUAGUGGCGGACGGGUGAGUAACACGUGGGUAACCUGCCCAUAAGAGGGGGAUAACAUCCGGAAACGGGUGCUAAUACCGCAUAGUUUUCUUGAUCGCAUGAUCGAGAAAGGAAAGACGGCCUUUGUGCUGUCGCUUAUGGAUGGACCCGCGGCGUAUUAGUUAGUUGGUGAGGUAAUGGCUCACCAAGACGAUGAUACGUAGCCGACCUGAGAGGGUGAUCGGCCACAUUGGGACUGAGACACGGCCCAAACUCCUACGGGAGGCAGCAGUAGGGAAUCUUCCGCAAUGGACGAAAGUCUGACGGAGCAACGCCGCGUGAGUGAAGAAGGUUUUCGGAUCGUAAAACUCUGUUGUAAGGGAAGAACAGGUGUGAGAGGUAAUGCUCAUGCUAUGACGGUACCUUACGAGAAAGCCACGGCUAACUACGUGCCAGCAGCCGCGGUAAUACGUAGGUGGCAAGCGUUGUCCGGAAUUAUUGGGCGUAAAGCGCGCGCAGGCGGCCUUUUAAGUCUGAUGUGAAAGCCCCCGGCUCAACCGGGGAGGGUCAUUGGAAA